UUGGACCUAUUCUAAGGACAAGUGUCAACAAUAUGAUUAAAUGUUUAUUGAUCAACACUGGCUGAUAAGCCUCCAUUUUCAUGGUACUUAAAAAUGUUAAGAAAUGUGAUUGGAUAGAAAAUUAUCUGUCAUUUGAUUAAAUAUACAUUUUCUAUAAAAGCAAGUCUACAACUUUCGAAGCAUUCAAAAAAAAAAAAAAUGUAGAUUUAAUGAUAAAGACUAGAGUGCCAAAACAAGUUCAAUUUUCUAGUACUUUAAUUCAAAUAUGUGACUUUUAUAUGAUCCUAUCCAAUUUUGAGAUUCAACAAAUGUCCCUUAAAAAAAUCUCGUACAUUGCGUGUUUAAGUAGUAUGACCAUCUGAUCUCAUACAAGAUAAACUCGGUGGAAGUCCAUCUCCACAAAAUGUUUAAAUAAUAAUGAAGAUCCUGUGUCCAUUUUUUACGCUUCUUACCUUCCCCAUUUGUGUGUUUAUAUAUCCACUCCAGGUCCUAGCAUAGAUAGAUGUGAGCCUUUCUUGUACCAUUUUUCCUUGUUUGGGAGAGAAAAACAGAGAUCAAGAAGAAGAAGAAGAGAGAAUGGAUGCACCAACAUACCAAGAGAUGUCAUAUUUUGAACAUAUCCAAAAACGCCACGAGGAAAAAGGAUGUCUUUUUGCAUGUUUGUUCGCGAUGUGUUGCUGUUUCUGCUGCUUCGAGACAUGCGAAUGUUGCCUUGAUAUUCUCUGCUGUUCCUGUCCUUGAGUAAACAGAUUAUCAUCAUUAGAAAUGGGGUUUGGGAAGAAUAUUGGGAAAGAAAAAAAAGAGCAAGUUGUAUAACUUAUUUCACAAUUGAAAAGUUGUGAUUGAUGAAUACGAAAAAAUAAUAGUGGUUGGUGACCUUGUAUUUUCACCAAUCACAAAAAAAAGGGGGGUGAAAUAUUUAUGUUGUGUUCCUUAUUUCUAAAUGGGGGUAUCACUUCCUGAAAUAAUUUUCUUUCAUUUUGCUUUUCUAAAGACAUAUGGCUUAUGCAAGUAAAAUAGAAUCUAUAUCUGAGAUAUACAAUCGUAGGUUUGGUUAA
Quercus robur (English oak) is the source of this 1058-nucleotide long non-coding RNA. RefSeq lists it as uncharacterized. NCBI's taxonomy places the organism in Eukaryota, Viridiplantae, Streptophyta, Magnoliopsida, Fagales, Fagaceae. The transcript is spliced from 2 exons. The record is from RefSeq and is a predicted model, not a curated record.